CACCAGGCCAAGACACAUGUACGUAUAACUAGACACUGUGCCCCAUAUUGCCAGAGGACUGCAUCUUGCAUCAAGGCUCUAUAACCAGACACUAAAGAUAUAGAGGGUUUACACUAAAAGCAUAUUACAGGAAACGGAAAUCAGAAGGUUAAAGCAUCGAGCCUAGCCAAAUUUAGAGAAAUAUCAACUAAGCUGGUCAAAAAGCUUGGCUAUGCUAGCCUAUAUUUGAAGUUAAGAAACCAGCAAGUACACUAUAUAUUGCCAAGAAUGACAAGCCUUUGUAGCAUCUGGUAAAAUAGCACUCAAUACAGC
This is a non-coding RNA of Pelobates cultripes (western spadefoot toad), 312 nucleotides long. The record is from the annotation of a GenBank genome assembly. NCBI's taxonomy places the organism in Eukaryota, Metazoa, Chordata, Amphibia, Anura, Pelobatidae.